Molecule: ribosomal RNA, 237 nt
Filed under: uncultured bacterium
Lineage: Bacteria
Description: partial 16S ribosomal RNA
Rfam family: Bacterial small subunit ribosomal RNA
Source: RNAcentral
CGGACGGGUGAGUAACGCGUGGGUAACCUGCCCUGUACAGGGGGACAACAGCUGGAAACGGCUGCUAAUACCGCAUAAGCCCUUAGCACUGCAUGGUGCAUAGGGAAAAGGAGCAAUCCGGUACAAGAUGGACCCGCGUCUGAUUAGCUGGUUGGUGAGGUAACGGCCCACCAAGGCGACGAUCAGUAGCCGGCCUGAGAGGGUGAACGGCCACAUUGGGACUGAGACACGGCCCAA